UGAAAAAUAACAGAACAUAUCUGCCAGCUCCUUACAUAACUUCGGGUUAUGCGUUGGUGUCGAGAGAUUCUCUAAUAGAAACCUAUAUAAACAUAGGCAAGUUGGCGCUAUAUUUGGUGAGGGAUAUACAAGCACCCAGUAAUCAAUACAAUAGUAUAUGGGAGGCCGCCAGUGUAGAGGUCGUCGUGCCCGGUUGGUCGAGUGAUGGAUGGAAGUGCAAGAGGGUGGCUGUUGGGUCAUGCAUGGAGGGGACUGUGGCGCAUUGCAGCACAGAGAACCUCCUAAGUGUGGAAGUGGGAAGAGUGGAGGGGGGGGCAUGGAGGCGUGGAUACUCGGGAGGAGCGGUGGAUGGGACACUGGAGGAAAUGGGAUGGAGGAAACGAACAGCAAAUGGGAGGGGCCGAGAGGGAGAG
This 413-nucleotide long non-coding RNA is filed under the name Androctonus crassicauda. The record is from RNAcentral. Lineage: Eukaryota; Metazoa; Arthropoda; Arachnida; Scorpiones; Buthidae.